UGGCGAAGGUCCCAGCAGGGAGGUGAGUGCUCUAUGAUUUGAGACUUCUCUAACGAUGAAACAAAAAUGCCUUCGCAAAUGAAUUUAGCCGAAUCGUAGGAUGCCCAAUUAGUCCAUUUUUGGAGCGUCUGGAACCCUCGGCAACAUCCAA
Small nucleolar RNA from Theobroma cacao (cacao), 151 nucleotides. It matches the Rfam family "Small nucleolar RNA snoR145". The record is from Rfam. Lineage: Eukaryota; Viridiplantae; Streptophyta; Magnoliopsida; Malvales; Malvaceae.